CAGCCGCCGCGGGAAUACAAAGGGUGCGAGCGUUAAUCGGAUUUACUGGGCGUAAAGCGUGCGUAGGCGGCUUCUUAAGUCGGAUGUGAAAUCCCUGAGCUUAACUUAGGAAUUGCAUUCGAUACUGGGAAGCUAGAGUAUGGGAGAGGAUGGUAGAAUUCCAGGUGUAGCGGUGAAAUGCGUAGAGAUCUGGAGGAAUACCGAUGGCGAAGGCAGCCAUCUGGCCUAAUACUGACGCUGAGGUACGAAAGCAUGGGGAGCAAACAGGAUUAGAUACCCCAGUAGUCCCUGUCUCUUAUAC
RNAcentral lists this ribosomal RNA (301 nucleotides) under uncultured bacterium. RNAcentral's name for it is "partial 16S ribosomal RNA". It matches the Rfam family "Bacterial small subunit ribosomal RNA", at positions 509 to 807 of the family's 1533-position model. The record is from RNAcentral.